CGAACGAUGAACCACUUCGGUGGGGAUUAGUGGCGAACGGGUGAGUAACACGUGGGCAAUCUGCCCUGCACUCUGGGACAAGCCCUGGAAACGGGGUCUAAUACCGGAUACUGACCACCGCGGGCAUCUGUGGUGGUCGAAAGCUCCGGCGGUGCAGGAUGAGCCCGCGGCCUAUCAGCUUGUUGGUGAGGUAACGGCUCACCAAGGCGACGACGGGUAGCCGGCCUGAGAGGGCGACCGGCCACACUGGGACUGAGACACGGCCCAGACUCCUACGGGAGGCAGCAGUGGGGAAUAUUGCACAAUGGGCGCAAGCCUGAUGCAGCGACGCCGCGUGAGGGAUGACGGCCUUCGGGUUGUAAACCUCUUUCAGCAGGGAAGAAGCGAAAGUGACGGUACCUGCAGAAGAAGCGCCGGCUAACUACGUGCCAGCAGCCGCGGUAAUACGUAGGGCGCGAGCGUUGUCCGGAAUUAUUGGGCGUAAAGAGCUCGUAGGCGGCUUGUCGCGUCGGUUGUGAAAGCCCGGGGCUUAACCCCGGGUCUGCAGUCGAUACGGGCAGGCUAGAGUUCGGUAGGGGAGAUCGGAAUUCCUGGUGUAGCGGUGAAAUGCGCAGAUAUCAGGAGGAACACCGGUGGCGAAGGCGGAUCUCUGGGCCGAUACUGACGCUGAGGAGCGAAAGCGUGGGGAGCGAACAGGAUUAGAUACCCUGGUAGUCCACGCCGUAAACGG
Molecule: ribosomal RNA, 730 nt
Filed under: Streptomyces sp.
Lineage: Bacteria; Bacillati; Actinomycetota; Actinomycetes; Kitasatosporales; Streptomycetaceae
Description: bacterial SSU rRNA
Rfam family: Bacterial small subunit ribosomal RNA
Source: RNAcentral